This 481-nucleotide ribosomal RNA is filed under the name uncultured bacterium. RNAcentral's name for it is "bacterial SSU rRNA". It matches the Rfam family "Bacterial small subunit ribosomal RNA", at positions 501 to 984 of the family's 1533-position model. The record is from RNAcentral.
CUACGUGCCAGCAGCCGCGGUAAUACGGAGGAUGCGAGCGUUAUCCGGAUUUAUUGGGUUUAAAGGGUGCGUAGGCGGCCUGUUAAGUCAGCGGUGAAAUCUAGGAGCUUAACUCCUAAAUUGCCAUUGAUACUGGCGGGCUUGAGUGUAGAUGAGGUAGGCGGAAUGCGUGGUGUAGCGGUGGAAUGCAUAGAUAUCACGCAGAACUCCGAUUGCGAAGGCAGCUUACUAAGGUACAACUGACGCUGAAGCACGAAAGCGUGGGUAUCAAACAGGAUUAGAUACCCUGGUAGUCCACGCAGUAAACGAUGAUAACUGGGCGUAUGCGAUAUACAGUAUGCUCCUAAGCGAAAGCGUUAAGUUAUCCMCCUGGGGAGUACGCCGGCAACGGUGAAACUCAAAGGAAUUGACGGGGGCCCGCACAAGCGGAGGAACAUGUGGUUUAAUUCGAUGAUACGCGAGGAACCUUACCCGGGCUUGA